Molecule: ribosomal RNA, 253 nt
Filed under: uncultured bacterium
Lineage: Bacteria
Description: partial 16S ribosomal RNA
Rfam family: Bacterial small subunit ribosomal RNA
Source: RNAcentral
UACGUAGGGUGCAAGCGUUAAUCGGAAUUACUGGGCGUAAAGCGUGCGCAGGCGGUUAUGUAAGACAGUUGUGAAAUCCCCGGGCUCAACCUGGGAACUGCAUCUGUGACUGCAUCGCUGGAGUACGGUAGAGGGGGAUGGAAUUCCGCGUGUAGCAGUGAAAUGCGUAGAUAUGCGGAGGAACACCGAUGGCGAAGGCAAUCCCCUGGACCUGUACUGACGCUUAUGCACGAAAGCGUGGGGAGCAAACAGG